RNAcentral lists this long non-coding RNA (258 nucleotides) under Olea europaea (common olive). RNAcentral's name for it is "long non-coding RNA (OEUR_LNC005923)". The record is from RNAcentral. Lineage: Eukaryota; Viridiplantae; Streptophyta; Magnoliopsida; Lamiales; Oleaceae.
CUAAACUGAUCAAAGAGCCUGUCAUUUAUAGAAAGAGAAAACCCUACCCACGGCAAGAAGCCAAUUAACCCAUGCGAAGACGUUUAUGUGAAGAUAAUUUUUGUCUCUUAUUUGCAUAAAGCUCUCAGUUUUCUCUUUUCUCCAUAAAUUUGUUUAAGCUCUCAGGCUCUGACUCUUCUACUCUUCCUUGUUCGAAUCUCGGUAGCGGCCCUUUCUCGUUUGAAUCUUCUUGCCUGUAAUUGUAAACCCUCUUUUGUA